UCACUGAGAUUACUUUAUUUGACGAGGACUUGGGUAACUGCUCUGUUCCCUCGGCAAACCAUUCUACGGUCCAAAAUCUUCUCGGACUGGGCUAAAAGCUAUCCAUCUUCCCCAGUGAGAGGUACUGUCGGUGAGGCUUGCUGUGAAUUUUGAAUCCCUCACUUUAAUAGGGAUAUAUGAAAGACAAGAUGUAUUUGGGAUCCUUCAGGAAGUUGAAGCCAAUGAGCCAUAGAUCCGAUCCUUUCUAAUAUCUUGAAGGGGUCGUAAUAUUGUGAGGUAAGUUUGAGAUUCUUGUGGACUACCACUGUACUUUGUCGAUACGGCUAGAGCUUAAGGUAUACUAUAUCUCCU
Molecule: long non-coding RNA, 351 nt
Filed under: Elaeis guineensis (African oil palm)
Lineage: Eukaryota; Viridiplantae; Streptophyta; Magnoliopsida; Arecales; Arecaceae
Description: long non-coding RNA (EGUI_LNC019946)
Source: RNAcentral